This 632-nucleotide ribosomal RNA is filed under the name uncultured bacterium. RNAcentral's name for it is "bacterial SSU rRNA". It matches the Rfam family "Bacterial small subunit ribosomal RNA", at positions 63 to 702 of the family's 1533-position model. The record is from RNAcentral.
CGAGGGAGAACCAUUCGAUCCGUAAGGACCGGAUGGGGAAACCGGCGAACGGGUGCGUAACACGUGAGGAACCUGCCCCGAAGACCGGGAUAGCCCGAGGAAACUCGGAUUAAUACCGGAUACCCUCUUUGGACCACAUGGUCUGCUGAGGAAAUGGUCCGCCGCUUCGGGAUGGCCUCGCGGCCUAUCAGCUUGUUGGUGAGGUAACGGCUCACCAAGGCAAAGACGGGUAGCUGGUCUGAGAGGACGAUCAGCCACACUGGGACUGAGACACGGCCCAGACUCCUACGGGAGGCAGCAGCAGGGAAUAUUGCACAAUGGGCGAAAGCCUGAUGCAGCGACACCGCGUGCGGGAUGAAGGCCCUCGGGUUGUAAACCGCUUUCAGGAGGGACGAAACUGACGGUACCUCCAGAAGAAGGCCCGGCCAACUACGUGCCAGCAGCCGCGGUAAUACGUAGGGGCCAAACGUUGUCCGGAUUUAUUGGGCGUAAAGGGCUCGUAGGCGGUUCAAAAAGUCGAUCGUGAAAGCCCGGGGCUCAACCCCGGGACGCCGGUCGAAACUGUUGUGACUAGGGUCCGGUAGAGGUGAGUGGAAUUCUCGGUGUAGCGGUGGAAUGCGCAGAUAUCGAGA